UACGGGAGGCAGCAGUGGGGAAUAUUGGGCAAUGGGCGAAAGCCUGACCCAGCAACGCCGCGUGAAGGAAGAAGGUUUUCGGAUUGUAAACUUCUGUCCUAUGUGAAGAGUAGGAGACGGUAGCAUAGGAGGAAGCCCCGGCUAACUACGUGCCAGCAGCCGCGGUAAU
This 169-nucleotide ribosomal RNA is filed under the name uncultured rumen bacterium. RNAcentral's name for it is "partial 16S ribosomal RNA". It matches the Rfam family "Bacterial small subunit ribosomal RNA", at positions 340 to 524 of the family's 1533-position model. The record is from RNAcentral.